GACGUAGGGCGCGAGCGUUGUCCGGAUUUAUUGGGCGUAAAGAGCUCGUAGGCGGCUUGUCGCGUCGAAUGUGAAAACCCACGGCUCAACUGUGGGCUUGCAUUCGAUACGGGCAGGCUAGAGUUCGGUAGGGGAGACUGGAAUUCCUGGUGUAGCGGUGAAAUGCGCAGAUAUCAGGAGGAACACCGUGGCGAAGGCGGGAUCUCUGGACAGCUCUCGAUGACACUGAGGCACGAAGGCCCAGGGGAGCAAACGGGG
RNAcentral lists this ribosomal RNA (258 nucleotides) under uncultured bacterium. RNAcentral's name for it is "partial 16S ribosomal RNA". It matches the Rfam family "Bacterial small subunit ribosomal RNA", at positions 524 to 777 of the family's 1533-position model. The record is from RNAcentral.